RNAcentral lists this ribosomal RNA (465 nucleotides) under uncultured bacterium. Its description in RNAcentral is "partial 16S ribosomal RNA". It matches the Rfam family "Bacterial small subunit ribosomal RNA", at positions 28 to 507 of the family's 1533-position model. The record is from RNAcentral.
GACGAACGCUGGCGGCGUGCUUAACACAUGCAAGUCGAACGGAAAGGCCCCUUCGGGGGUACUCGAGUGGCGAACGGGUGCGUAACACGUGAGUAACCUGCCCUUGACUUCGGGAUAACUUCAGGAAACUGGGGCUAAUACCGGAUAGGAAUCCUUGCUGCAUGGUGGGGGUUGGAAAGCUUCGGCGGUUUUGGAUGGACUCGCGGCUUAUCAGCUUGUUGGUGGGGUAGUGGCUUACCAAGGCUUUGACGGGUAGCCGGCCUGAGAGGGCGACCGGCCACAUUGGGACUGAGAUACGGCCCAGACUGCUACGGGAGGCAGCAGUGGGGAAUAUUGCACAAUGGGCGGAAGCCUGAUGCAGCAACGCCGCGUGCGGGAUGACGGCCUUCGGGUUGUAAACCGCUUUCAGCAGGGGCGAAGCUUGUGGUGACGGUACCUGCAGAAGAAGCACCGGCUAACUACGUG